Molecule: long non-coding RNA, 672 nt
Organism: Macrobrachium nipponense
Lineage: Eukaryota; Metazoa; Arthropoda; Malacostraca; Decapoda; Palaemonidae
Exons: 2
Source: RefSeq, a predicted model, not a curated record
ACAUCGUACAUUAGUUCCUGAGCUCAUUAAAGCCUUGAGUGACCUUGGACGUCCUGACAUUUUGGUCAUUGCUGGAGGAGUUAUUCCACCUCAGGAUUAUGAAUUUUUAAAAGAAUGUGGGACAGCAGCUAUAUUUGGACCAGGUACUCAAAUCCCUGUUGCUGCACUAGAUGUUCUUAACUUGAUUACAGUCUCCUUAAAAAAGCGAGCUGCAGUAAACUGAAGCUACUUGGUGUAUUACGAGCCCUUUAUGGAAGUCAUAAAUGAGAAAAGUAAAUAGCUGCUGUUAAGAUGAUGUAUUUUUUGUUUACAAGAAUGUAAUGUUACUGUAUGGUAAAUAAAGAGAACCCCAUCUUUUCUUAGCAUUCUAAGUACUACAUAAUCUUGCAGCAUAUUUAGAGAAUGGUAUAAUAUAAGAACCUUUUACGCUAAAUUUGCAAUAUAUACAGGGUGUUUUCUAAUGUGCCAUAUGGUUAUUUUUGUAAUGUCAAAACUAUUCAUGAUUAUUAAUAUUCUGGAUUGAUUUACAUUGAAUUGCUAUCUAGAGGAUUAUUUUCCAAACAAGAAAAUAUGUAGAGUACGAACAUAGUGUAAUACUCUUGACGGUAUUUUACUUAGUGUGAACCUGUUACUUGCACAGUAUUAGACUAAGGGAAUUAAAUUUUUUUUUUU